This is a small nuclear RNA of Neogale vison (American mink), 104 nucleotides long. Lineage: Eukaryota; Metazoa; Chordata; Mammalia; Carnivora; Mustelidae. The record is from Ensembl.
GUGCUCGCUUCAACAGCACAUACACACAAAUCACAACGACACAGAGAUUAACAUGGCCGCUGUGCAAGGAUGACAUGCAAAUUCGUAAUGUGUUCCAUUAAAAG